Molecule: ribosomal RNA, 548 nt
Filed under: uncultured Glomeromycotina
Lineage: Eukaryota; Fungi; Glomeromycota
Description: SSU rRNA
Rfam family: Eukaryotic small subunit ribosomal RNA
Source: RNAcentral
UUGGAGGGCAAGUCUGGUGCCAGCAGCCGCGCUAAUUCCAGCUCCAAUAGCGUAUAUUAAAGUUGUUGCAGUUAAAAAGCUCGUAGUUGAAUUUCGGGAUCGAAUUGUUGGUCGUGCCUCGGUACGCACUGGCAUUAUCGGUUCCUACCUUCUGAAGAACCGCGAUGUCAUUAAUUUGGUGUCGUGGGGAAUCAGGACUGUUACUUUGAAAAAAUUAGAGUGUUUAAAGCAGGCUUACGCUUGAAUACAUUAGCAUGGAAUAAUGAAAUAGGACGUUUGAUUCUAUUUUGUUGGUUUCUAGGAUCGACGUAAUGAUUAAUAGGGAUAGUUGGGGGCAUUAGUAUUCAAUUGUCAGAGGUGAAAUUCUUGGAUUUAUUGAAGACUAACUGCUGCGAAAGCAUUUGCCAAGGAUGUUUUCAUUAAUCAAGAACGAAAGUUAGGGGAUCGAAGACGAUCAGACACCGUCGUAGUCUUAACCAUAAACUAUGCCGACUAGGGAUCGGAUGAUGUUAAUUUUUUAAUGACUCAUUCGGCGCCUUACGGGAAAC